RNAcentral lists this ribosomal RNA (616 nucleotides) under uncultured bacterium. RNAcentral's name for it is "bacterial SSU rRNA". It matches the Rfam family "Bacterial small subunit ribosomal RNA", at positions 338 to 946 of the family's 1533-position model. The record is from RNAcentral.
CCUACGGGAGGCAGCAGUGGGGAAUUUUGGACAAUGGGCGCAAGCCUGAUCCAGCCAUUCCGCGUGAGUGAAGAAGGCCUUCGGGUUGUAAAGCUCUUUCGCAAGGGAAGAAAACUUACAUUCUAAUAAAGUGUGAGGCUGACGGUACCUUGAUAAGAAGCACCGGCUAACUACGUGCCAGCAGCCGCGGUAAUACGUAGGGUGCGAGCGUUAAUCGGAAUUACUGGGCGUAAAGCGUGCGCAGGCGGUUUUGUAAGUCAGAUGUGAAAUCCCCGGGCUCAACCUGGGAACUGCGUUUGAAACUACAAGGCUAGAGUGUAGCAGAGGGGGGUAGAAUUCCACGUGUAGCAGUGAAAUGCGUAGAGAUGUGGAGGAAUACCAAUGGCGAAGGCAGCCCCCUGGGUUAACACUGACGCUCAUGCACGAAAGCGUGGGGAGCAAACAGGAUUAGAUACCCUGGUAGUCCACGCCCUAAACGAUGUCUACUAGUUGUUGGGAGAGUAAAAUCUCUUAGUAACGCAGCUAACGCGUGAAGUAGACCGCCUGGGGAUACGGUCGCAAGAUUAAAACUUAAAGGAAUUGACGGNGNGAGAGNGACGAGACGACGAGAGGAGAG